This 530-nucleotide ribosomal RNA is filed under the name uncultured bacterium. Its description in RNAcentral is "bacterial SSU rRNA". It matches the Rfam family "Bacterial small subunit ribosomal RNA", at positions 777 to 1301 of the family's 1533-position model. The record is from RNAcentral.
AAUAGAUACCCCGGUAGUCCUGGCCCUAAACGAUGAAUGCUUGGUGUGGCGGGUAUCGAUCCCUGCCAUGCCGUAGUUAACGCGAUAAGCAUUCCGCCUGGGGAGUACGGUCGCAAGGCUAAAACUCAAAGGAAUUGACAGGGGCCCGCACGAGCGGUGGAGCAUGUGGUUCAAUUCGAGGCAACGCGAAGAACCUUACCAGCCCUUGACAUGGCAGGACGGUGUCCAGAGAUGGGCUCCGUUCCCUUCGGGGACCUGCACACAGGUGCUGCAUGGCUGUCGUCAGCUCGUGUCGUGAGAUGUUGGGUUAAGUCCCGCAACGAGCGCAACCCUUGCCCUUAGUUGCCAUCAUUCAGUUGGGCACUCUAGGGGGACUGCCGGUGAUAAGCCGAGAGGAAGGUGGGGAUGGACGUCAAGUCCUCAUGGCCCUUACGGGCUGGGGCUACGACACGUGCUACAAUGGCGGUGACAGAGGGCAGCUACUCCGCAAGGGGAAGCGAAUCCCAAAAAGCCGUCUCAGUUCGGAUUGU